This is a long non-coding RNA of Pristis pectinata (smalltooth sawfish), 193 nucleotides long. RefSeq lists it as uncharacterized. The transcript has 3 exons. NCBI's taxonomy places the organism in Eukaryota, Metazoa, Chordata, Chondrichthyes, Rhinopristiformes, Pristidae. The record is from RefSeq and is a predicted model, not a curated record.
GGGACCCCAACUGGUAAUUUGAAGGAAUCACAAGGAACGAGUACUUUCAUGACAUCCUCUGCUCUGUGAGGCAAGAAGAAUUGUCAUUUCAAAGGGACUUCGGUAACAUGCUAUGAAAGUAUUUGAAGGAUACUGAAUAAUUGGCAUUUAUGAACAAAUGGAGCUCUGGCCAAGGAAAAAAAACUUGUCCUGC